GAGCACAGAGGGACAGAGGCACGGAACCCCCAGAAAUGUCCCUCCUCAGAAACAGGCUCCAGGCCCUGCCUGCCCUGUGCCUCUGCGUGCUGGUCCUGGCCUGCAUUGGGGUUCUGUUGGCCAGGACUUUGGCCUAGACAAAGGAUGGGGGUUGUGGCUGUGGAGCGGAAGUGGGUCUCAACCACUAUAAAUCCUCUCUGUGCCCGUCCGGAGCUGGUGAGGACAGCCUGCCAGAGUCUGGUCUCUGGACACUAUGGGCACACGACUCCUCCCAGCUCUGUUUCUUGUCCUCCUGGUAUUGGGAUUUGAGGUCCAGGGGACCCAACAGCCCCAGCAAGAUGAGAUGCCUAGCCCGACCUUCCUCACCCAGGUGAAGGAAUCUCUCUCCAGUUACUGGGAGUCAGCAAAGACAGCCGCCCAGAACCUGUACGAGAAGACAUACCUGCCCGCUGUAGAUGAGAAACUCAGGGACUUGUACAGCAAAAGCACAGCAGCCAUGAGCACUUACACAGGCAUUUUUACUGACCAAGUUCUUUCUGUGCUGAAGGGAGAGGAGUAACAGCCAGACCCCCCAUCAGUGGACAAGGGGAGAGUCCCCUACUCCCCUGAUCCCCCAGGUUCAGACUGAGCUCCCCCUUCCCAGUAGCUCUUGCAUCCUCCUCCCAACUCUAGCCUGAAUUCUUUUCAAUAAAAAAUACAAUUCAAGUUGCUUCUCAUGGAUGGCACUGCUUUUCUGAGGACUCAAGGGCCAAGAUGGAGGGGCUGACUCAGUCCAGCCAACAUUUAAUGAGCACCUACUUUAUGUAUGGAGCUCUAACCCAUGGGUCCAUGGGAAUAAAGCAGUGAAUAGUAACAAUAAAUAAUCGUAACAGCA
Molecule: long non-coding RNA, 874 nt
Filed under: Homo sapiens (human)
Lineage: Eukaryota; Metazoa; Chordata; Mammalia; Primates; Hominidae
Description: HSALNT0398204
Source: RNAcentral